Molecule: ribosomal RNA, 459 nt
Filed under: uncultured bacterium
Lineage: Bacteria
Description: partial 16S ribosomal RNA
Rfam family: Bacterial small subunit ribosomal RNA
Source: RNAcentral
CCUACGGGUGGCAGCAGUGAGGAAUAUUGGUCCAUGGUCGGGAGACUGAACCAGCCAAGCCGCGUGAGGGAGGAAUGUCCAGAGUAUCGUAAACCUCUUUUGUCAGGGAACAAAGGCCGGGCCUUUUCCCCUGAUGAGUUUACCUGAAGAAAAAGCUUCGCCUACCUCCGUGCCCCCAGCCGCGUUAAUCCGGAGGAUGCGAGCGUUAUCCGGAUUUAUUGGGUUUAAAGGGUGCGCAGGCGGUCUGUAAAGUCAGCGUUAAAAGCUGGGGGCUCACCCCCAGCCAGACGUUGAAACUGGGAGUCGAGAGUGGGAGAGAGGUAUGCGGGAUGCGCGGGGUAGCGGUGAAAUGCAUAGAUAUCGCGCAGAACUCCGAGUGCGAAGGCAGCAUGCCGGCUCAAAACUGACGCUGAGGCACGAAAGCGUGGGUAUCGAACAGGAUUAGAUACCCGGGUAGUC